AGAAUCAACGCUGGCGGCGUGCCUAACACAUGCAAGUCGAACGAGAAAGGGACUUCGGUCCUGAGUAUAGUGGCGCACGGGUGAGUAACACGUGAAUAAUCUACCUCCGAGUGGGGAAUAACCAAGAGAAAUCUUGGCUAAUACCGCAUAACACUUACGAGUCAAAGCAGCAAUGCGCUUGGAGAGGAGUUCGCGGCAGAUUAGUUAGUUGGCGGGGUAAUGGCCCACCAAGACGAUGAUCUGUAUCCGGCCUGAGAGGGCGCACGGACACACUGGAACUGAAACACGGUCCAGACUCCUACGGGAGGCAGCAGUGGGGAAUUUUGCGCAAUGGGGGAAACCCUGACGCAGCAACGCCGCGUGGAGGAUGAAGUAUCUCGGUACGUAAACUCCUUUCGAUGGGGAAGAUAAUGACGGUACCCAUAGAAGAAGCCCGGCUAACUUCGCGCCAGCAGCCGC
Molecule: ribosomal RNA, 459 nt
Filed under: uncultured bacterium
Lineage: Bacteria
Description: SSU rRNA
Rfam family: Bacterial small subunit ribosomal RNA
Source: RNAcentral